GACGAACGCUGGCGGCGUGCUUAACACAUGCAAGUCGAACGGAAAGGCCCAGCUUGCUGGGUGCUCGAGUGCGAACGGGUGAGUAACACGUGGGUGAUCUGCCUCUAACUUCGGGAUAAGCUUGGGAAACUGGGUCUAAUACCGGAUAGGACAAUCGUUUAGUGUCGGUUGUGGAAAGUUUUUUCGGUUAGGGAUGAGCCCGCGGCCUAUCAGCUUGUUGGUGGGGUAAUGGCCUACCAAGGCGUCGACGGGUAGCCGGCCUGAGAGGGUGGACGGCCACAUUGGGACUGAGAUACGGCCCAGACUCCUACGGGAGGCAGCAGUGGGGAAUAUUGCACAAUGGGCGCAAGCCUGAUGCAGCGACGCCGCGUGGGGGAUGACGGCCUUCGGGUUGUAAACCUCUUUCGACAGGGACGAAGCUUUGGUGACGGUACCUGUAUAAGAAGCACCGGCUAACUACGUG
RNAcentral lists this ribosomal RNA (463 nucleotides) under uncultured bacterium. Its description in RNAcentral is "partial 16S ribosomal RNA". It matches the Rfam family "Bacterial small subunit ribosomal RNA", at positions 28 to 507 of the family's 1533-position model. The record is from RNAcentral.